Molecule: non-coding RNA, 29 nt
Filed under: Mus musculus (house mouse)
Lineage: Eukaryota; Metazoa; Chordata; Mammalia; Rodentia; Muridae
Also listed under: 1 other name
Source: RNAcentral
UGAGAGUUGAGGAAAAGCUGAGAUGCCCU